UACGAAGGGGGCUAGCGUUGUUCGGAAUUACUGGGCGUAAAGCGCACGUAGGCGGAUAUUUAAGUCAGGGGUGAAAUCCCGGGGCUCAACCCCGGAACUGCCUUUGAUACUGGGUAUCUCGAGUCCGAGAGAGGUGAGUGGAAUUCCGAGUGUAGAGGUGAAAUGCGCAGAUAUCAGGAAGAACACCCGUGGCGAAGGCGGCUCUCUGGGACGGUACUGACGCUGAGACGCGAAAGCGUGGGGAGCAAACAGG
Molecule: ribosomal RNA, 253 nt
Filed under: uncultured bacterium
Lineage: Bacteria
Description: partial 16S ribosomal RNA
Rfam family: Bacterial small subunit ribosomal RNA
Source: RNAcentral